RNAcentral lists this ribosomal RNA (406 nucleotides) under Klebsiella pneumoniae. RNAcentral's name for it is "partial 23S ribosomal RNA". It matches the Rfam family "Bacterial large subunit ribosomal RNA", at positions 1446 to 1838 of the family's 2925-position model. The record is from RNAcentral. Lineage: Bacteria; Pseudomonadati; Pseudomonadota; Gammaproteobacteria; Enterobacterales; Enterobacteriaceae.
UGGUGUUACUGCGAAGGGGGGACGGAGAAGGCUAUGUUAGCCGGGCGACGGUUGUCCCGGUUUAAGCAUGUAGGCUGGUUGUCCAGGCAAAUCCGGAUAAUCAAGGCUGAGGUGUGAUGACGAGGCACUACGGUGCUGAAGUAACAAAUGCCCUGCUUCCAGGAAAAGCCUCUAAGCAUCAGGUAACAUCAAAUCGUACCCCAAACCGACACAGGUGGUCAGGUAGAGAAUACCAAGGCGCUUGAGAGAACUCGGGUGAAGGAACUAGGCAAAAUGGUGCCGUAACUUCGGGAGAAGGCACGCUGGUGUGUAGGUGAAGUCCCUGCGGAUGGAGCUGAGACCAGUCGAAGAUACCAGCUGGCUGCAACUGUUUAUUAAAAACACAGCACUGUGCAAACACGAAAGU